Molecule: ribosomal RNA, 551 nt
Filed under: Diacheopsis metallica
Lineage: Eukaryota; Evosea; Eumycetozoa; Stemonitida
Description: SSU rRNA
Rfam family: Eukaryotic small subunit ribosomal RNA
Source: RNAcentral
AGUAGUGUAUGCUUCUCCUAAAGACUAAGCCAUGCAUGCCCCGAAUAAGAGGAAUCACUUCUCUCUGAAUCUGCGAACGGCUCCGCAAACCAGUUGUAAACUAGAGCAAGCUAGCCUGGCGGGCUUCGGCCUCCAGGCGAUAUGGAUAACCCUGGUAAUUCUGAGGCUAAUACAGGACCGCAAAACCGGGCAGCCCAGCAAUGGAUGCCCGGGGAUGUGCGAUAUGGCUUGACAAUGACCGGGAAAGGACGCACACUCUGACCGCGCUACAAAGGAUCGGGACUCCCCUCGGGGAACCUGGCCCCAGCGGCUCUUGCUGUGUGCUUCUGACCUAUCAACUAGACGGCAGCGUAAUGGACAUGCUAUGGUGACAACGGGUACAGAGGAUUAGGGUUCGAUCCUGGAGAGUGGGCCUGAGAGAUUGCUCAUACUUCUAAGGAAGGCAGCAGGCGCGCAACGUUCCCCUUGGGCAAUGCCCGAGGGCGUUAGGGGACAUAUGAAUGCCUGCCCAUUGGGUGGGCAAUUCAAAUGGGUCUGUUGUAAACAGGCUC